CAGUAGCCGCGGGAAUACGUAGGUCCCGAGCGUUGUCCGGAUUUAUUGGGCGUAAAGCGAGCGCAGGCGGUUAGAUAAGUCUGAAGUUAAAGGCUGUGGCUUAACCAUAGUACGCUUUGGAAACUGUUUAACUUGAGUGCAAGAGGGGAGAGUGGAAUUCCAUGUGUAGCGGUGAAAUGCGUAGAUAUAUGGAGGAACACCGGUGGCGAAAGCGGCUCUCUGGCUUGUAACUGACGCUGAGGCUCGAAAGCGUGGGGCGCAAACAGGAUUAGAUACCCGGGUAGUCCCUGUCUCUUAUACA
Molecule: ribosomal RNA, 301 nt
Filed under: uncultured bacterium
Lineage: Bacteria
Description: partial 16S ribosomal RNA
Rfam family: Bacterial small subunit ribosomal RNA
Source: RNAcentral